Molecule: ribosomal RNA, 1369 nt
Filed under: uncultured bacterium
Lineage: Bacteria
Description: bacterial SSU rRNA
Rfam family: Bacterial small subunit ribosomal RNA
Source: RNAcentral
GACGAACGCUGGCGGCGUGCCUAAUACAUGCAAGUAGAACGCUGAAGAGAGGAGCUUGCUCUUCUUGGAUGAGUUGCGAACGGGUGAGUAACGCGUAGGUAACCUGCCUUGUAGCGGGGGAUAACUAUUGGAAACGAUAGCUAAUACCGCAUAACAAUGGAUGACACAUGUCAUUUAUUUGAAAGGGGCAAUUGCUCCACUACAAGAUGGACCUGCGUUGUAUUAGCUAGUAGGUGAGGUAACGGCUCACCUAGGCGACGAUACAUAGCCGACCUGAGAGGGUGAUCGGCCACACUGGGACUGAGACACGGCCCAGACUCCUACGGGAGGCAGCAGUAGGGAAUCUUCGGCAAUGGGGGCAACCCUGACCGAGCAACGCCGCGUGAGUGAAGAAGGUUUUCGGAUCGUAAAGCUCUGUUGUAAGUCAAGAACGAGUGUGAGAGUGGAAAAUUCACACUGUGACGGUAGCUUACCAGAAAGGGACGGCUAACUACGUGCCAGCAGCCGCGGUAAUACGUAGGUCCCGAGCGUUGUCCGGAUUUAUUGGGCGUAAAGCGAGCGCAGGCGGUUUGAUAAGUCUGAAGUUAAAGGCUGUGGCUCAACCAUAGUUCGCUUUGGAAACUGUCAAACUUGAGUGCAGAAGGGGAGAGUGGAAUUCCAUGUGUAGCGGUGAAAUGCGUAGAUAUAUGGAGGAACACCGGUGGCGAAAGCGGCUCUCUGGUCUGUAACUGACGCUGAGGCUCGAAAGCGUGGGGAGCGAACAGGAUUAGAUACCCUGGUAGUCCACGCCGUAAACGAUGAGUGCUAGGUGUUGGAUCCUUUCCGGGAUUCAGUGCCGCAGCUAACGCAUUAAGCACUCCGCCUGGGGAGUACGACCGCAAGGUUGAAACUCAAAGGAAUUGGCGGGGGCCCGCACAAGCGGUGGAGCAUGUGGUUUAAUUCGAAGCAACGCGAAGAACCUUACCAGGUCUUGACAUCCCGAUGCUAUUUCUAGAGAUAGAAAGUUACUUCGGUACAUCGGUGACAGGUGGUGCAUGGUUGUCGUCAGCUCGUGUCGUGAGAUGUUGGGUUAAGUCCCGCAACGAGCGCAACCCCCAUUGUUAGUUGCCAUCAUUCAGUUGGGCACUCUAGCGAGACUGCCGGUAAUAAACCGGAGGAAGGUGGGGAUGACGUCAAAUCAUCAUGCCCCUUAUGACCUGGGCUACACACGUGCUACAAUGGUUGGUACAACGAGUUGCGAGUCGGUGACGGCAAGCUAAUCUCUUAAAGCCAAUCUCAGUUCGGAUUGUAGGCUGCAACUCGCCUACAUGAAGUCGGAAUCGCUAGUAAUCGCGGAUCAGCACGCCGCGGUGAAUACGUUCCCGGGCCU